GCAUGAUUCAAAUUGAAUUUCUUUUGAUUAAUGUAUGGCAGAAAACAAGUGUGGGGGGAAGCGUGAGUUAUUAUGCUUGUUGAAAAGAAAAGAAGAGUUGAGAAAGAAAAAAAAAAAAAAAAAAAAAGGAGUUGAAAAAUAUGUGAAAAAGAGUUUUAAAGUGCUGCUUGUUGAAGAAAGGGUCCAAAACAUAGAAUUCGGCCCUAAAUAUUGCUUGAAUUUUCCCUUCGUGUCUAAAAGCUGAUUUCUGCAAUCUAAGUGAAUUCUAAGUUUCAAUUUCAUUACUUUGCUUGCUAUUGCUUUAAGAACGAUUGUUAUCCCUAUCCUUCAUUUGUUAACCAAUACCCCAAAGCCCCAUUACAACCCUUAACUUCGAUCUUGAGUGUUAUGUAUUUCAAUUUGUGGAGUUUGAAUUUGGCAUGAGCCUAUGGUGUCACUGGUUCUUGCGUCUAAGUAAUAGCAUUCCAUUCAUGAGAUCAUAUCUAAACAUGCUUAUUAACUCCAGAAAUUGCGUUCUUUGUGAUACAUAUAUGUGAGUGUUCGUUUUCAUAUCUACAUCAAUCUUCUCACAUAUAACUAGUAUAGGGUGUGUAGUUAGAAAAUCUAAGUGAAAAUUGAGUGCAUACUUUGUGAGGAAUUGAGUAAAUUCUCUAAGGCAUGUUACUACAUCAAAAACAUUAUUUUAAUCGAUUAAUUGUGAACAAGUAAGUGGUGACUAU
RNAcentral lists this long non-coding RNA (719 nucleotides) under Malus domestica (apple). Its description in RNAcentral is "long non-coding RNA (MDOM_LNC015531)". Lineage: Eukaryota; Viridiplantae; Streptophyta; Magnoliopsida; Rosales; Rosaceae. The record is from RNAcentral.